Molecule: ribosomal RNA, 497 nt
Filed under: uncultured bacterium
Lineage: Bacteria
Description: partial 16S ribosomal RNA
Rfam family: Bacterial small subunit ribosomal RNA
Source: RNAcentral
GAUGAACGCUGGCGGCGUGCCUAAUGCAUGCAAGUCGAGCGAACGGACGAGAAGCUUGCUUCUCUGAUGUUAGCGGCGGACGGGUGAGUAACACGUGGAUAACCUACCUAUAAGACUGGGAUAACUUCGGGAAACCGGAGCUAAUACCGGAUAAUAUUUUGAACCGCAUGGUUCAAAAGUGAAAGACGGUCUUGCUGUCACUUAUAGAUGGAUCCGCGCUGCAUUAGCUAGUUGGUAAGGUAACGGCUUACCAAGGCAACGAUGCAUAGCCGACCUGAGAGGGUGAUCGGCCACACUGGAACUGAGACACGGUCCAGACUCCUACGGGAGGCAGCAGUAGGGAAUCUUACGCAAUGGGCGAAAGCCUGACGGAGCAACGCCGCGUGAGUGAUGAAGGUCUUCGGAUCGUAAAGCUCUGUUAUUAGGGAAGAACAUAUGCGUAAGUAACUGUGCACAUCUUGACGGUACCUAAUCAGAAAGCCACGGCUAACUACGUG